RNAcentral lists this ribosomal RNA (484 nucleotides) under uncultured bacterium. RNAcentral describes it as "partial 16S ribosomal RNA". It matches the Rfam family "Bacterial small subunit ribosomal RNA", at positions 30 to 507 of the family's 1533-position model. The record is from RNAcentral.
AUUGAACGCUAGCGGGAUGCUUUACACAUGCAAGUCGAACGGCAGCGCGGACUUCGGUCUGGCGGCGAGUGGCGAACGGGUGAGUAAUGUAUCGGAACGUGCCCAGUAGCGGGGGAUAACUACGCGAAAGCGUAGCUAAUACCGCAUACGCCCUACGGGGGAAAGCAGGGGAUCGUAAGACCUUGCACUAUUGGAGCGGCCGAUAUCGGAUUAGCUAGUUGGUGAGGUAACGGCUCACCAAGGCGACGAUCCGUAGCUGGAUUGAGAGGACGACCAGCCACACUGGGACUGAGACACGGCCCAGACUCCUACGGGAGGCAGCAGUGGGGAAUUUUGGACAAUAGGGGCAACCCUUAUCCAGCCAGCCCGCGUGUGCGAUGAAGGCCUUCGGGUUGUAAAGCACUUUUGGCAGGAAAGAAACGUCGCGGGCUAAUACCCCGUGGAACUGACGGUACCUGCAGAAUAAGCACCGGCUAACUACGUG